UUGGACCAGGAUCUGCAACCCGAUGCCAGCAUCGUCGAUGGCGUCUCGCUUUCGCCGGUGGCGCCCAUGGUCUAGGCGCCCUUCCUGGUGGCGAGUACUAGUAUCGUUGGCGCCUUGGUGGUCGUAGCCUUCGCCUGCCAUGCCGCCGCCUCCGCUCGCAGCCACGCAACAUGGAACGCGCCGCCGGAGGAGAAGGUGGCCAGGGAGGAGGAGGGGCCGCUGGCGGGGAAGGGAGUGCUCUAGGCGUGCGCUCCAUGUCCCGGGGGCCGACGACAUCGGCGGGGGCAGGUAGGAGGAGGGGAAGAGCGGUAGCGACAAGGAUGGGGAGCGAGGAUCCGAC
RNAcentral lists this long non-coding RNA (340 nucleotides) under Setaria italica (foxtail millet). RNAcentral's name for it is "long non-coding RNA (SITA_LNC005287)". The record is from RNAcentral. Lineage: Eukaryota; Viridiplantae; Streptophyta; Magnoliopsida; Poales; Poaceae.